GCCAGAGUGGCGGAACUGGUAGACGCGCUGGAUUCAAAAUCCAGUAUAUUUUACAUAUGUGAGGGUUCGAGUCCCUCCUCUGGUA
RNAcentral lists this transfer RNA (85 nucleotides) under Deltaproteobacteria bacterium. RNAcentral's name for it is "tRNA-Leu". It matches the Rfam family "tRNA". From Rfam's summary of the family: Transfer RNA (tRNA) molecules are approximately 80 nucleotides in length. Their secondary structure includes four short double-helical elements and three loops (D, anti-codon, and T loops). Lineage: Bacteria; Pseudomonadati; Myxococcota; Myxococcia. The record is from RNAcentral.